UACAACUUUCGAAUGCUUACCCUACUGG
Molecule: non-coding RNA, 28 nt
Filed under: Cricetulus griseus (Chinese hamster)
Lineage: Eukaryota; Metazoa; Chordata; Mammalia; Rodentia; Cricetidae
Source: RNAcentral